ACCACCCUUUAAUGUUUGAUGUUCUAACGUGGACCCGUAAUCCGGGUUGCGGACAGUGUCUGGUGGGUAGUUUGACUGGGGCGGUCUCCUCCUAAAGAGUAACGGAGGAGCACGAAGGUUGGCUAAUCCUGGUCGGACAUCAGGAGGUUAGUGCAAUGGCAUAAGCCAGCUUGACUGCGAGCGUGACGGCGCGAGCAGGUGCGAAAGCAGGUCAUAGUGAUCCGGUGGUUCUGAAUGGAAGGGCCAUCGCUCAACGGAUAAAAGGUACUCCGGGGAUAACAGGCUGAUACCGCCCAAGAGUUCAUAUCGACGGCGGUGUUUGGCACCUCGAUGUCGGCUCAUCACAUCCUGGGGCUGAAGUAGGUCCCAAGGGUAUGGCUGUUCGCCAUUUAAAGUGGUACGCGAGCUGGGUUUAGAACGUCGUGAGACAGUUCGGUCCCUAUCUGCCGUGGGCGCUGGAGAACUGAGGGGGGCUGCUCCUAGUACGAGAGGACCGGAGUGGACGCAUCACUGGUGUUCGGGUUGUCAUGCCAAUGGCACUGCCCGGUAGCUAAAUGCGGAAGAGAUAAGUGCUGAAAGCAUCUAAGCACGAAACUUGCCCCGAGAUGAGUUCUCCCUGAGACUUAAAGUCUCCUGAAGGAACGUUGAAGACGACGACGUUGAUAGGCCGGGUGUGUAAGCGCAGCGAUGCGUUGAGCUAACCGGUACUAAUGAACCGUGAGGCUUAACCUUACAACGCCGAAG
Molecule: ribosomal RNA, 744 nt
Filed under: Salmonella enterica
Lineage: Bacteria; Pseudomonadati; Pseudomonadota; Gammaproteobacteria; Enterobacterales; Enterobacteriaceae
Description: partial 23S ribosomal RNA
Rfam family: Bacterial large subunit ribosomal RNA
Source: RNAcentral